AGUGAACGCUGGCGGUAGGCCUAACACAUGCCAGUCGAACGGCAGCACAGUAAGAGCUUGCUCUUACGGGUGGCGAGUGGCGGACGGGUGAGGAAUACAUCGGAAUCUACUUUUUCGUGGGGGAUAACGUAGGGAAACUUACGCUAAUACCGCAUACGACCUACGGGUGAAAGCAGGGGAUCUUCGGACCUUGCGCGAUUGAAUGAGCCGAUGUCGGAUUGGCUAGUUGGCGGGGUAAAGGCCCACCAAGGCGACGAUCCGUAGCUGGUCUGAGAGGAUGAUCAGCCACACUGGAACUGAGACACGGUCCAGACUCCUACGGGAGGCAGCAGUGGGGAAUAUUGGACAAUGGGCGCAAGCCUGAUCCAGCCAUACCGCGUGGGUGAAGAAGGCCUUCGGGUUGUAAAGCCCCUUUGUUGGGAAAGAAAAGCAGCAGGUUAAUACCCCGCUGUUCUGACGGUACCCAAAGAAUAAGCACCGGCUAACUUCGUG
This 492-nucleotide ribosomal RNA is filed under the name uncultured bacterium. RNAcentral's name for it is "partial 16S ribosomal RNA". It matches the Rfam family "Bacterial small subunit ribosomal RNA", at positions 29 to 507 of the family's 1533-position model. The record is from RNAcentral.